GGCUUAGUAAUUAAAUAUUAUAAUAUGGGAUUGCAAAUCCUAGUUUGCUUGUUUGUUAGCCUAAGCCU
RNAcentral lists this transfer RNA (68 nucleotides) under Arcuatula senhousia (Asian date mussel). RNAcentral describes it as "tRNA-Cys". Lineage: Eukaryota; Metazoa; Mollusca; Bivalvia; Mytilida; Mytilidae. The record is from RNAcentral.